Molecule: ribosomal RNA, 252 nt
Filed under: uncultured bacterium
Lineage: Bacteria
Description: partial 16S ribosomal RNA
Rfam family: Bacterial small subunit ribosomal RNA
Source: RNAcentral
ACGGAGGGUGCAAGCGUUAUCCGGAAUCAUUGGGUUUAAAGGGUCCGUAGGCGGGUGUUUAAGUCAGUGGUGAAAUGCAGGGGCUCAACUCCGGCACUGCCAUUGAUACUGAACAUCUUGAAUUAUUGUGAAGUGGCUAGAAUAUGUAGUGUAGCGGUGAAAUGCUUAGAUAUUACAUAGAAUACCGAUUGCGAAGGCAGGUCACUAACAAUACAUUGACGCUGAGGGACGAAAGCGUGGGUAGCGAACAGG